GUCACGCUAAGAUACACCAGAAAGCCAGGCGCAUGCACGCGGCGCGCUGCCGCUUCAAGGCGCGGGCGCGAGAGAGAGAGAGAGAGAGAGAGCGCGAGAGCGUGAGUGCGUAUGUGUCACACAUCGCUGAGAAAAGCUUCCGCGUGCCGUCGGUUCGACCUGCUGCAGGAACACAACGCUGAACUUUACUACUGGAAAAUCAGCACCUAUUCCUACAAGGUCAGUAGAUGUUCUAACUUUAUUAUUAUUAUUUAAAUAUGUUUUUGAGUUUUAUUCCCGGUUUUAGUAGUUUUAUUGUGGCAUGUCCAAUAAUGCACGCGCUGAUGGAUGAGCUGUUUGGCGCGCGAGUUGUAAAAGGUGCACAGGAUGAUGCACAGGUAUACUGUGUGGAUAUUUAUGAUCAAAACAAGUUUAACAAAAACAAACAAACAAAAUCCUCUGCCCCUCGUGCACUUGCGGUAGUACUAAUAAUACAGACAGCUCAGUGUUUUAAUAUUAGAGUCUCAUCUCUUAAAAAAGGUGUCUCACCUGUGCUGGGUUUGGUUUCCGGGAAGCGCGUGCGCUGGGAAUUCACGGUUCUUCCCUCAUCAUUGCAUCCUCUUACAGACUAAAAGGCACCCCAUAUCAUUCAGAGUGCACAUGCACGGUGUAAUGCACAUGAUGGAAGGGCAUGGAGUGUCAUUCUGCAGGAGUGUAGCUGUACAUUCACAGAGGAACUUCACUUAAACGUGGAGUUUUCGGUUGAACCUGGAUUACACAAAGUUUCUGGAGAAGGAGGUCGUUUCAGGAGGAGCGCAUGAUCAUAGCUGGGUUUUUUUCUUCUUCCAGGAGAAAGUAGCUAAUGCUUGCUCGAUAAGGUCCCUAGAAGUCCCCAUAUGACACCCUAGACUAAUCUGCGUAUUUAUUCAGUGGCAUAGGAACGUGUUGGAACAUGAAGAUUUUCUGCAAACACUCAGAAUAGAAAUGAGUUAUACCAAAGUACAAGGUAUUAGAUCAUGGGAUCUGGUUUAUAAAAAGAAGGCGUCUUUGGUCAUGGCACCGCAAAAUAUAAUCUCUAGGACGCAGACUGAACGAGGCAGUGGUAGUGAGGUAUCUGGAAAUAGGUAUGAAGGGGAAUCUGUUAAUGUAAUUUUAUUACUGUAAAUAUUGCCAAUAAAUGAUUUUCAGAUGAAGAACAGAAACAUGCUGGUGGGACAAACAGUGGUGAUGAGUGAUUAAUCACUGGUCACCAUUCUUUCUAUUGACCAGUCAUUGGGAACAGUGAGGGUCGGUGAUCAGUCGUGGGGAACGGUGAGGGUCGGUGAUCAGUCGUGGGGAACAGUGAGGGUCGGUGAUCAGUCGUGGGGAACGAUGGGGUCGGUGAUCAGUCAUUGGAACAGUGAGGGUCGGUGGUCAGUCGUGGGGAACAAUGGGGUCGGUGAUUUAAUUUUUGAGAACAAUAGUGACCUGUGAUCAGUCAUUAGGAACAAUGGAAAUUGGUAGAUAGCCAGGGGGUACAAUGGUGAUCAGUGAUUAGUCACUGGAAACAAUGGUCACCAGUGAUUAAUUGUUGAGAACAAUGGUUUCAACAAUGAUCAGUCAUUGAAAACAGUAGUGAUCAGUGAUUAUUCAAUACCAAAGAAUGGUGAUCAGAGAGUAAUUGUUUGGCAGGGUGUACCCCGCCUUGUGCCCCAUGCUCCCUGGGAUAGGCUCCAGGUUUCCUGCGACCCUGUAGGAUAAGCGGUAUAGAAAAUGGAUGGAUGGAUGGAUUAGUUGUCGGGAACAGUGGUGAUCAGUGAUUGAUCCAUGGAAAUGUUGACUCGCACAAAUGCACGAAUUAUAGCGACAGUCACUAAGCUGCAAACUCUGAGCAUGAUGACGAGAACCCAAAUGUCAUAGCCUAAAUCAAAAUCCCUCCGAAAGCUUGAGCAAGUGAACCAGAUAUUAAAAUGAAAAUGUGUUUGUCUAUAUAAAGGUUAUAAAGGUUGCAUUUGCACACUGACACAUUGAGGCUACCGCUGCUCCACUUACCUUUUCCCACAAGGAGAAGUAAAAUACCACGCUUUAUUGAACUGGAUUUUUAUAUGGUAGUGGAAUCGAGUGUUAUGGGACAUCAGUGAAUAAAGGGACACAUAAAUUCGAUACACGCUGAAUGGCCAAGCCCACGGUAUCCCAUCUGGAAACAACAUGCUUCAUAAAUCUUUUUUAUCUUUGUUUUCUUAAAUUGUGUGCAAUUGUUUGGGUGUUUUUCUCUCGCUUGGUGAUGUUUUUAUAUUUUCCAGUUGUUUUACUGGAUUGGGCAACAACAGCAUGGAGAAAAUUGAGUGAGUCUGAGAAAGAGUCACUGACCUUCACAAUGACCUUGACUCUCCUCCUCAUCGACGCUGCGUUUAACACACUCCUUGCUGCCUACUGCUGAUGUGAAAACACACUCCCGACGUUUCAGUUUUGAAACCUCAGAGGUGAGCUCAACAUUUCCUACAUGGCUGACAGAGGUCUGAAACCAGCUUGUUUAUUAUGCAGAAGGAAGAACAGGGUAAUUUUAUUAUUUGCGUCCUUAUGCGAUACAUCAAAGCAGAACUCUGAGGCUCUUCGUUCUCUCCGGGAAAUCCAUUCGCGCAGCAGUGUCUCUCGCUGCUUGAGUCAAGGUCUGAAAUGAAUUUUCUUUCCCCAGUGUGGGAGCUAAAUGAGUGAUUUUCCACCUGCCACUUCCGAAAGUCGUGUGGAAAAUGUUGGAAUUACGAACAGACCCAUAUUAUGUUUCAAAUGCAAAAUAAUUCGUCUUUUUUUAAAUUUUUUUCUUUCUGUAAGACGUGUCAGGAAUGACUUUAGUUGUGCAGUUGUUUGCGUUUGACCUUCGAUCAUAUUAAUGCAUAAAAUGGGUACUAUAAUACAAUUCUUCAAGGUGUUUUUCCGAAUAGUACCUUCCCCUGGGAAACUAUUGGAAUGGCAAGGCCACUGAAGAUAUCGACAGCUCUCUGAUCUUCAUCUUGGUUUAUCCUCUUUAACAACAAAGGCAGGUCUUUCCAGGUGAAACUGAAGGUUAAAACCAAGAGUAGAUAUUCAGAGCUACUUAUUGUUUAAAUAAUCAAUCUAACAGGACACACCGGGGUAACGAGAAACACCUGUCGGUCACGCGUUCCAAUAUUUUUGCUUGCCUACAAAUUUGGUGGUCGGAUACCAAAUGUGCUAUGUUUUUAUGUUUAACACGUCUACAUGUAAAUAGCAGGAAAUAAAAACAGAACUCUCGUCUCGUAUACACCUUUUGAUCUCACUGAAAUGUCUCGGCCUUGUUGUUCUAAUAGUUUCGGAGGGGACUGUAUCUUCGACAUCCUGGUAGCAUUUCCACCUCUGGGGUUCGAUCCUGAGCUCGCGUUAAUGUCUACACAUGUGCUUCCUGUUUCUCUGGAUUCCUGUCAGAGGUGUAUUCGUUGUAAGUGCGUUGGUGACUCUAAAUCGCAUGUAGAUGUUGGUGAAUGUUGCGUGUGAACGGUUGCACGGUGCCAUGUAACAGACAGGCGUCCCAUCCAAGGAGUAGUCCCAGGAUAGGCUCCGGAUCCCCCGCCACCCUGACCAGGAUGUAAAGUGCUUCCUGAAGAUGAAUGAAUGAACCAUGCACUGAAUCAUUUGACUUUGGACCCAUGAUGCCAAUAUGACCAAACACACUGUCCUUGGGUGGGGAAGUGAGAGAAAGUAAACACCCCCAACACUCACCAAGUCUCAAAAGUAAUUCUUGGGGCUCAGUGAAUGAAGGAGA
Ictalurus punctatus (channel catfish) is the source of this 3736-nucleotide long non-coding RNA. Lineage: Eukaryota; Metazoa; Chordata; Actinopteri; Siluriformes; Ictaluridae. The record is from Ensembl.